GUGGCAGUGGCGUCGUACUGUAAUGCAGUCGAGCGAACUGAUUAGAAGCUUGCUUCUAUGACGUUAGCGGCGGACGGGUGAGUAACACGUGGGCAACCUGCCUGUAAGACUGGGAUAACUUCGGGAAACCGAAGCUAAUACCGGAUAGGAUCUUCUCCUUCAUGGGAGAUGAUUGAAAGAUGGUUUCGGCUAUCACUUACAGAUGGGCCCGCGGUGCAUUAGCUAGUUGGUGAGGUAACGGCUCACCAAGGCAACGAUGCAUAGCCGACCUGAGAGGGUGAUCGGCCACACUGGGACUGAGACACGGCCCAGACUCCUACGGGAGGCAGCAGUAGGGAAUCUUCCGCAAUGGACGAAAGUCUGACGGAGCAACGCCGCGUGAGUGAUGAAGGCUUUCGGGUCGUAAAACUCUGUUGUUAGGGAAGAACAAGUACGAGAGUAACUGCUCGUACCUUGACGGUACCUAACCAGAAAGCCACGGCUAACUACGUGCCAGCAGCCGCGGUAAUACGUAGGUGGCAAGCGUUAUCCGGAAUUAUUGGGCGUAAAGCGCGCGCAGGCGGUUUCUUAAGUCUGAUGUGAAAGCCCACGGCUCAACCGUGGAGGGUCAUUGGAAACUGGGGAACUUGAGUGCAGAAGAGAAAAGCGGAAUUCCACGUGUAGCGGUGAAAUGCGUAGAGAUGUGGAGGAACACCAGUGGCGAAGGCGGCUUUUUGGUCUGUAACUGACGCUGAGGCGCGAAAGCGUGAGGAGCAAACAGGAUUAGAUACCCUGGUAGUCCACGCCGUAAACGAUGAGUGCUAAGUGUUAGAGGGUUUCCGCCCUUUAGUGCUGCAGCUAACGCAUUAAGCACUCCGCCUGGGGAGUACGGUCGCAAGACUGAAACUCAAAGGAAUUGACGGGGGCCCGCACAAGCGGUGGAGCAUGUGGUUUAAUUCGAAGCAACGCGAAGAACCUUACCAGGUCUUGACAUCCUCUGACAACUCUAGAGAUAGAGCGUUCCCCUUCGGGGGACAGAGUGACAGGUGGUGCAUGGUUGUCGUCAGCUCGUGUCGUGAGAUGUUGGGUUAAGUCCCGCAACGAGCGCAACCCUUGAUCUUAGUUGCCAGCAUUUAGUUGGGCACUCUAAGGUGACUGCCGGUGACAAACCGGAGGAAAAGGGGGGGGAUGAACGUCAAAUCAUCAUGGCCCCUUAUGAACCGGGGCUAACCCCUGGUUACAAAGGGAGGGGGACAAAGGGGUUCCAAAACCCCCGAGGGCAAACCCAUCCCCUUAAAAACAUUUUUCAUUUUGGGAAUUGGGGGCGGCAACCCCCCCCCUUGAAACUGGGAUACCCUUUAAAUCCCGAAUUAACAUGGCCCCGGGGGAAAAAAUUUCCCGGGCUUUUUUAAAACCCCCGGUCCACCCCCACAAAAUUUUUUAACCCCCCAACCACCCGGG
Molecule: ribosomal RNA, 1440 nt
Filed under: Priestia megaterium
Lineage: Bacteria; Bacillati; Bacillota; Bacilli; Caryophanales; Bacillaceae
Description: bacterial SSU rRNA
Rfam family: Bacterial small subunit ribosomal RNA
Source: RNAcentral